Molecule: ribosomal RNA, 475 nt
Filed under: uncultured bacterium
Lineage: Bacteria
Description: bacterial SSU rRNA
Rfam family: Bacterial small subunit ribosomal RNA
Source: RNAcentral
GAACGCUGGCGGAAUGCUUUACACAUGCAAGUCGAACGGUAGAGGGGGCAACCCUUGAGAGUGGCGAACGGGUGAGUAAUAUAUCGGAACGUGCCCAGUCGUGGGGAUAACGUAGCGAAAGCUACGCUAAUACCGCAUACGAUCUAUGGAUGAAAGCGGGGGAUCGCAAGACCUCGCGCGAUUGGAGCGGCCGAUAUCAGAUUAGGUAGUUGGUGAGGUAAAGGCUCACCAAGCCGACGAUCUGUAGCUGGUCUGAGAGGACGACCAGCCACACUGGGACUGAGACACGGCCCAGACUCCUACGGGAGGCAGCAGUGGGGAAUUUUGGACAAUGGGCGCAAGCCUGAUCCAGCAAUGCCGCGUGCAGGAUGAAGGCCUUCGGGUUGUAAACUGCUUUUGUACGGAACGAAACGGUGAGCUCUAAUACAGUUUGCUAAUGACGGUGCCGUAAGAAUAAGCACCGGCUAACUACGUG